GGGUCAGUAGGUUGGUCGUGCCACCGGUACGUACUGGUCUCACUGAUUCCUCCUUCCUGAAGAACCGUGAUGCCAUUAAUUUGGUGUUGCGGGGAAACAGGACUGUUACUUUGAAAAAAUUAGAGUGUUUAAAGCAAGCUAACGCUUGAAUACAUUAGCAUGGAAUAAUGAAAUAGGACGAUCGACCCUAUUUUGUUGGUUUCUAGGAUUGACGUA
This 216-nucleotide ribosomal RNA is filed under the name Glomeromycotina sp. RNAcentral's name for it is "partial small subunit ribosomal RNA". The stretch from base 40 to 216 matches the Rfam family "Eukaryotic small subunit ribosomal RNA", at positions 686 to 864 of the family's 1831-position model. Lineage: Eukaryota; Fungi; Glomeromycota. The record is from RNAcentral.